This is a non-coding RNA of Paramisgurnus dabryanus, 511 nucleotides long. The record is from RefSeq and is a predicted model, not a curated record. NCBI's taxonomy places the organism in Eukaryota, Metazoa, Chordata, Actinopteri, Cypriniformes, Cobitidae.
CAUCAUCAGUGGAUGCCUUUGCUGUCCGUAACCUGAGAUUUCAGAUUUGCAGCAAAAAAAAUUUGAUUUUCUCAUUUAUUGGAAUGCUGUGCAGGUAUUUGUACCUUGCAGCCAUCCAUUACAAUGUCACCAAGCCGUAACAAAAGCAGGAGAGGGAAAGUACAAGGCUAUGUUCCCAAAACACACAAGUGACAUACCUUAUGUGGAUGAUGUGAUCAGGCUUGUGUUUGAUGAGAUAUUUGAAGAUAAGCUGAAGGAAACCCCGAUUCCAAUGGACCUGGCAUCACAGUUUGAGAGACCUUCAAAGGAGGACGUGAUUGCAUGCCAUCUUCAGUGCAGGGGUCGUCGAAAGCCAAAAUUGUGACCGAUCUGAUCAGGAAGCUCCAAGCAUAUCUGGAGAACAACACACGACAGGAUGAUAACCUUAUAGUGUCGUCUUAAAUAGCACCAGCUGACAAAGCUUUGAUAUGCCAUUUAUCUGAAUAGAUAGCUGUAAGAAAUGAAUUGAACA